UUCCGCUGAGAGGUGGGAGUGCUCGAAAGAGAACCGGCGCACAGGUGCUGCAUGGCUGUCGUCAGCUCGAGUCGUGAGAUGUUGGGUUAAGUCCCGCAACGAGCGCAACCCUUGUCCUUAGUUGCUACGCAAGAGCACUCUAAGGAGACUGCCGGUGACAAACCGGAGGAAGGUGGGGAUGACGUCAAGUCCUCAUGGCCCUUAUGGGUAGGGCUUCACACGUCAUACAAUGGUCGGAACAGAGGGUUGCCAACCCGCGAGGGGGAGCUAAUCCCAGAAAACCGAUCGUAGUCCGGAUUGCACUCUGCAACUCGAGUGCAUGAAGCUGGAAUCGCUAGUAAUCGCGGAUCAGCAUGCCGCGGUGAAUACGUUCCCGGGUCUUGUACACACCG
RNAcentral lists this ribosomal RNA (392 nucleotides) under Burkholderia sp. GM26. RNAcentral's name for it is "bacterial SSU rRNA". It matches the Rfam family "Bacterial small subunit ribosomal RNA", at positions 996 to 1392 of the family's 1533-position model. The record is from RNAcentral. Lineage: Bacteria; Pseudomonadati; Pseudomonadota; Betaproteobacteria; Burkholderiales; Burkholderiaceae.